CUUAAUUAUGAUGUUAUUACUCUCAUCCCUAAUGUCAAAGGGGUCGACUUGAUUUCGUAGUUUAGUUCUAUCUGCCUCAUUAAUAAUUUCACGAAGUUUCCUACUAAGGGUUUCACCACUCGCCUCUCUCCUGUUGCCCACAGAACUCUUAGCCCAUACCAAUCUGCUUUCGUCAAAGGGAGGUUCAUUCUGGAUGGGACCCUUUGCCUGCACGAAAUUGUUCAUGAUCUCAGAAUACGUAAGACUAAGGCGGUGAUCUUGAAACUGGAUUUCGAAAAAGUGUACGAUUCGGUUGGUUGGUCGUUUCUUAGGCAGACUCUUCUUGCUAAGGGCUUUGAUGGAGCCUAUGUUCACAGAGUUAUGCAAUUGGUCUCGGGUGGCCACACGGAGAUCUCAAUAAAUGGCCAGGUUAGUAACUUCUUUGCCAAUGGCAGGAGCUUGAGGCAAGGGGACCCGGUCUCUCCUCUUUUGUAUAACUUUGUGGCGGAUGCUCUUUCUCGAAUCCUGUCUAGAGCUGCCUCAUGCGACCACAUUUCCCCUGUCAUCUCACACCUAAUCCCCGAGAGCGUCACUCAUCUCUAG
This 582-nucleotide ribosomal RNA is filed under the name Triticum aestivum (bread wheat). Its description in RNAcentral is "partial small subunit ribosomal RNA". Lineage: Eukaryota; Viridiplantae; Streptophyta; Magnoliopsida; Poales; Poaceae. The record is from RNAcentral.